UAAGACAGAGGGGGCAAGCGUUGCUCGGAAUCACUGGGCGUAAAGGGCGCGUAGGCGGGAUGGCAAGUCAGUCGUGAAAUCUCUCGGCUCAACCGAGAAACGUCGGCUGAUACUGCCGUUCUUGAGGGAUGCAGAGGAGACUGGAAUUCCCGGUGUAGCGGUGAAAUGUGUAGAGAUCGG
RNAcentral lists this ribosomal RNA (180 nucleotides) under uncultured bacterium. RNAcentral describes it as "partial 16S ribosomal RNA". It matches the Rfam family "Bacterial small subunit ribosomal RNA", at positions 521 to 700 of the family's 1533-position model. The record is from RNAcentral.